Molecule: ribosomal RNA, 663 nt
Filed under: uncultured bacterium
Lineage: Bacteria
Description: bacterial SSU rRNA
Rfam family: Bacterial small subunit ribosomal RNA
Source: RNAcentral
AAUACUGUUUGAUCCUGGCUCAGGACGAACGCUGGCGGCGUGCUUAACACAUGCAAGUCGUGCGAUCUUCCUCGAUUGCGAGCUUGCUCAAAAUCGAGAUUCAGAUAGCGGCGAACGGGUGAGUAACGCGUGGGCAACCUGCCCUAGAGACUGGGAUAACUCCUCGAAAGGGGGGCUAAUACCGGAUACCUUUGUUUUUACACAUGUAUUUACAAAGAAAGCCUUCGGGCGCUUUAGGAUGGGCCCGCGUUCCAUUAGCUUGUUGGUAGGGUAACGGCCUACCAAGGCUGUGAUGGGUAGCCGGCCUGAGAGGGCGAUCGGCCACACUGGGACUGAGAUACGGCCCAGACUCCUACGGGAGGCAGCAGUGGGGAAUAUUGCGCAAUGGGCGAAAGCCUGACGCAGCAACGCCGUGUGGAUGAAGAAGGCCUUCGGGUUGUAAAGUCCUGUCACAGGGGACGAAGUCUCUGCUUGUCAGAGAUGACGGUACCCUGAGAGGAAGCCCCGGCUAACUACGUGCCAGCAGCCGCGGUAACACGUAGGGGGCAAGCGUUGUCCGGAAUUAUUGGGCGUAAAGAGCACGUAGGCGGCUUGCCAAGUCAGAUGUGAAAACCUCAGGCUUAACUUGAGGCCUGCAUUUGAUACUGGCUUGCUAGAGUCUAG